AUCUCACACACAUUCUUAGACUAUUUUGCUCUUCAUAUUAUACUUUGAAAUAAGUGGAAUAAAUGAAGAAUCAUCUGAAAAACCAAAGCCUUCACGGCAGAGAAAGCGAAAUAUUGAUCAGUGGAAGAAAAAUAAAGCAAAAGUCGACGAAAUGCUGGUCAGCAGUAUAAGUCUUUAAAAGCACACAAGACUGUUCAGGCUGCUACUAUAGGAAGUCCCUGUACUUGUUCAAUUAAAUGUUUCACAAAACUGCUUGCAGAGGAAGAAAACAUUUUUCAUUCAUUUUGGGACAUAAGAAACUUUAAUGCCCCGAAUACUUACCUGAUGAGCUGUAUGAAAAUGGAACCGAAAAAGCGGAGCUAUCCAAGAAAGACUUCCAAGAAAAUAUCAUCCAGGGAUGUUACAUUUUCUUAUAAUGUGAGGGUAUGCGGAAUAGAAGUCAUGAUCUGCAAGGAAGCUUUCCUAAGGGUUCAUGGCUUACAGAUACAUUCACGAAGAGUGAGGAAUUUGCAACAUCAAAUGAAGCAGGGAUUUGCAGUGCCGAAAGAAGAUGGAAGAGGAAAACAUGGAAACUACCCAUAUAAAUUUCAAGACAAAGCUGUACAAAGUGUUAGAGAAUUUCUCAACGCAAUACCGAAAUAUAUCAGUCAUUACAGUAGGCAACAGAACCCCAAUAAAAUGUAUUUGGAUUGUGAUCUCACAAUUGCUUCCUUAUUUCGAGAUAAAUACUCAGAAUACUACAAGGAAAAGUAGGUUCCUGC
This 761-nucleotide long non-coding RNA is filed under the name Schistocerca americana (American grasshopper). RNAcentral describes it as "uncharacterized LOC124619761". Lineage: Eukaryota; Metazoa; Arthropoda; Insecta; Orthoptera; Acrididae. The record is from RNAcentral.